ACUCAACUGGGACUGAGCCGAUCCAUUCGAACUGAGCUGGCUCAGUCUAGCACUGAGUCGACUCACUUUCUGUCUCAUGCCAAAACUUCGAUACACCUGUCUUUCUGGCAUGCUCUGUGAUUUGGUCGAUCCAUUCCCAGAUUGGGUCGACCCAAUACCCUGAGACUGUUUUUCUACCACAGUCUUCAGCUCUCCUUUGGUAUCUCGCUCUACCUUGUAUCUCCAGAUAUCCAAAGCUCCAACCAAGCCCCUCGAAGUCCUCGCCGUCUGAACCUCGAGCCCGU
This 284-nucleotide long non-coding RNA is filed under the name Elaeis guineensis (African oil palm). Its description in RNAcentral is "long non-coding RNA (EGUI_LNC039032)". The record is from RNAcentral. Lineage: Eukaryota; Viridiplantae; Streptophyta; Magnoliopsida; Arecales; Arecaceae.